Molecule: ribosomal RNA, 515 nt
Filed under: uncultured bacterium
Lineage: Bacteria
Description: partial 16S ribosomal RNA
Rfam family: Bacterial small subunit ribosomal RNA
Source: RNAcentral
GAUGAACGCUGGCGGCGUGCCUAAUACAUGCAAGUCGAGCGAAUGGAUUAAGAGCUUGCUCUUAUGAAGUUAGCGGCGGACGGGUGAGUAACACGUGGGUAACCUGCCCAUAAGACUGGGAUAACUCCGGGAAACCGGGGCUAAUACCGGAUAACAUUUUGAACCGCAUGGUUCGAAAUUGAAAGGCGGCUUCGGCUGUCACUUAUGGAUGGAUCCGGGUCGCAUUAGCUAGUUGGUGAGGUAACGGCUCACCAAGGCAACGAUGCGUAGCCGACCUGAGAGGGUGAUCGGCCACACUGGGACUGAGACACGGCCCAGACUCCUACGGAAGGCAGCAGUAGGGAAUCUUCCGCAAUGGACGAAAGUCUGACGGAGCAACGCCGCGUGAGUGAUGAAGGCUUUCGGGUCGUAAAACUCUGUUGUUAGGGAAGAACAAGUGCUAGUUGAAUAAGCUGGCACCUUGACGGUACCUAACCAGAAAGCCACGGCUAACUACGUGCCAGCCGCCGCAGUAA